Molecule: long non-coding RNA, 379 nt
Filed under: Carica papaya (papaya)
Lineage: Eukaryota; Viridiplantae; Streptophyta; Magnoliopsida; Brassicales; Caricaceae
Description: long non-coding RNA (CPAP_LNC008893)
Source: RNAcentral
AACUCACCAGCGGCAGGACUCUCCGGUGCGACAGCUUCUCUGACUCACGUUGCGGUUGGGUAUUUUGCUCCAAUCAACUUGUAGAGAAGGAGACGGUGAUCACAACGGUAGCAAAAUUAUGCUGAACGGGAAUCGGAAAGGGCCUCAUCAGAGGCAUUUUAUGAAAUUCCCUACAGUGGUGCCGUCGGCCUUUACCCAUAGUUUUCAGCCGAUGGACCAAUCCUUUUACUCUGAUUUGACCAUGUGGGUGUUUAAAUUGAAUUCCGAGUAAAGGGAGAAUUUUUUACCUUUUUUAGUGGUCAGAAGUAGCUCCGGCGCCGCGGCGGGUGGCGGCGGCUGGGUCUUCUUCUCCAACGAGGGUGGCUGGAGGCUAGGGUUA